This 2333-nucleotide long non-coding RNA is filed under the name Marmota monax (woodchuck). The record is from RNAcentral. Lineage: Eukaryota; Metazoa; Chordata; Mammalia; Rodentia; Sciuridae.
AGAAAACAUAAUUCUCAUGGUUUGAUUAUUACAGAAGUCUCUUAAGGUUUAUAUGAAAUUUAAAAUUUUUGGUUUUUAUGUUUGUACUUAAACUUAGGGACACUUAAUCAGUAAACUGCAUCCUCAGAUUUUUUUUUUCAUUUUUACUUAGAGAGAGAGUCUGCUAAGUUGUUUAGGGCUUCACCAAGUUAUGGAGCCUGGCUUUUAACUUGCAAAGCUUCUCACAUCCCUAGGGUCACAGGCAUGGACCACCAUGCCCAUUUUACAGAGCAUUUUUAAUUAUAUUUGCAUUAUGGAUGCAAUUUGUUACUAAAUAAAGUAUGAAUUUCUUAAUGUUAACCUUGACAUGCAUUUAAUGAUGUUAUUAGGUCACACAUCUCCCACUAUUCACUUUGCUAAUGCAUCAAAUAUAGCAAAACAUUCUAUUGGGUAAAUAAUGCUAUAACGUCUCCCUUAAUUAUUUCAUAUAAUUAAUCAAGUUUUAUUUGGGGAAUAUUAUUUAUGUGAAUUACAUAUUCUUUUGUUUGUAAUUAUGCCAAAAUUAAGUUACAGGAAGGACCUAGGAAUACUAAAAUGAUGCCCAGAUAUCCCUAGUUUGAAUUACAACUUUAACAUUUCACCUUAUAGAGUUGCAGUACUCCCUAAGGGAUCUACAACUCUGGAGAGUUGCACAAGCUCCCAAUCAGGGAGAGGAGAAAGACCCAAGAGACUAGGAGCCAAUGUGCAUAUUCAGGUAAAAGGAGGGUUACUGAAGGGGAAGUAGUCUCAAUGUUUCCCAGGGAAACCACGUGGUCCACAGGCCCAUCCUGACUCUUGAACUGAAGAAACCAUGCAGUUCCUCAUGAAUUCCAUGACGUUCAUCACUGAGGAGACUAGACUGACCUCAAUUGUAGGAAGAACAUCCCAAUAUAGGACCACCUCUUUAGUCUUGGAUACCCAGUAGAAAAGUGUAACCAGAAACAUGUAAAAUGAUGACUGUAAAAAGAAAAAGACACACUAUAGGAGCAUUUAUGCCCCCACAUUUUUAAUUUCAUUAUAUAGUUUGAUUUUGUAGACCUUUUUCAUUCUACUUAAUAACUUGCAAUAUAAGGUUUGUUAUACUUAUUGGAUUAUAUGAUAGAUAGCAUGUGUCAUGGUCUCCCAGACCCCUCUGCAACCAGUAAUUAUAAGAUACUAUAAACUAACCCUGUCCCUCCUCAGAUCUUACAGCUCCAGGAGCCCAUGACACCACAGAGAGAGAGAAACACAAUUUUGAUUGAAAUAAACCUCUAGACUCUCAUCUACAAGUCCUGUUCAAAAAGUAAAAACACAAUAUUCUCUUCAUAUGUGAGCCCUUAGGGUCAACAAAAUACCACCCACAAACAUUUCAUUUAACUUUAUUUGGGAAAAUAAAUAUUGAAAUAUAAUGAUAAGUUCUAGGAGAAUAAUAUUCACACUAUUUUUUAUUCCAAAGGGUAACUCUCUAGGUUUCAUGCUUAUCUCCACUCCAUGUUAUUUUACACAGAAAAUUGGCUUCAUUUUACAUAUGAGUUUUAACUAUUUAUUAGGCCAGGAGGGAAGAUUCAGUACUAGAGGUCUAAGGAAAAUACUAAAGAUCCUCCCUUUCCAUGUGCCUGCAUGAGUCUGCUUAUCCUUGAUGAUACAGCUCAAGAUUGCCGAUUUCUCAAAGCAUCUGGCUCGGUGGCUCACUCAUUGGAACCCCAAUUUAAUUACUCAUCUCAAGGUUAUCACUCCCUCCUCUGGGAUCUGACCUGUUGAAGGAGGACCUAGUGUUCUUCAUGGGAUCACUAGGUCAUGCAAGCUGUUAGAACAAGGAAAGCUUCAUUCUAACUUGUAUUGAUUCAGCCCCAAUUUAAAUACAAGUUAGAACAAGACUUCAGACUCUCUCCUGUGGAGAGGAUACUCUGCCCAGGACGUCCCAGUCAGGACCCUGAAAAGCUGUUUGGGACUCCCCAGUACGUAGGUUCAGUGUUGGGGUUUUCCUAGUCUGGCAAUACAGUUGCCUGUGUCUGUUACUUUUUCUUUCUCUGUUGCUUUCAUAGUAUUACUCAAAGAAACACUGUCUGGUGUGAAGAGAGUGUCUUCCUUAUCUAUUGGACCUGACCUGCGAAGUUGAGCAGCUGCCCACAUACGUAAUGUCACAAACACAUGUAUGUGUUAUCUAAUCAGUAACUAGUGUAUCUUUCAACUACAUGAUUUUUUUAUUGCAUGGGGGAGGAAAUUGAGAAUGCUUUCUUUGAGUACACAGCACUAUUAAUAGUAUCCAUAACACUGCUAUGUAAUAUUUCCUCUCUGCUCAAAUUGUAAGUAUUGUUCUUGUGCUGCUUUGUAAA